UCCACUCUAUCUCUAUAUUCCUAUAAUUUCACUUCUUUUUUUUUCCCUUUUUUCUUUGGUGGGGAUGUUUUAGAGCAUUCUUAUGAACCUUCCUCAGACUCUGAAUUUGUUAAGCAUUUCAAAGGCAUUAUUAAAGUUAGUAAAAAAAUAUGUUCUUCAAUUCAAUGCAUUGAAAUCGCUAAGAUUACCUGUCAACUGCUGCAUUUAAUUGUAGUAUCAUUAGGACACUUGUUAGAGAAAACCCACGAGCUUAUACUCUUAAUGUCUCCUUUAGUACUUGAAACUUGAAACUGUGCCUAGUGUG
RNAcentral lists this long non-coding RNA (304 nucleotides) under Gossypium raimondii (Peruvian cotton). RNAcentral's name for it is "long non-coding RNA (GRAI_LNC001800)". Lineage: Eukaryota; Viridiplantae; Streptophyta; Magnoliopsida; Malvales; Malvaceae. The record is from RNAcentral.